This is a long non-coding RNA of Spodoptera frugiperda (fall armyworm), 1197 nucleotides long. RefSeq lists it as uncharacterized. The record is from RefSeq and is a predicted model, not a curated record. Lineage: Eukaryota; Metazoa; Arthropoda; Insecta; Lepidoptera; Noctuidae. The transcript is spliced from 2 exons.
AAUAUUGAGAGUUGGGACAUAGAUAUUCUGUGUAUACGACCACUUUAGUAUCGUUCUAAGUGGGGAAAUUGUCGUUGUACCUAUAUCGCAUCAAGACGUUCCUAGAAAUGAUGACCGAUGUAUCUCGUAUGUCAAACGUUUUAUCAGGACGGGCUUUGGAACCCAAGAUAUGAAUAUGGAAGAAACAAUACAGACAAUAUAAUUCAUACGACAUAUAUCGACGCACACACAAGUCCGUAUAUAGUGAACAUUUGCCACAGUAGCAGUCAGUAAUAUUGUGUCUGAGACAUGGAACAAUGCACAGGUCCGAAUGGGAAGUAAAGAUGGGACAGUACAUUUUGAACAUUUCAAAGGUUAUAUUAAGUUUCUUGGCGGUUGUCUUCGACACAAAUAAUUAAAGAAUGUCUUUAGUACCCUACAACAUACGUCGAUAUUAUGUAGACUUAAGAAAAAUACUUUCUCAAUUUGUUUCUUGGCGGUUGUCUUCGAUACAACGUUGACAGAACAUAAUAAUAUGUACGAUAGUGUGCUUGAAAGCAACAAAUCUGUCAUUUUCAGAUACAUAUAUUCUAAUACGUGAUAAUAUACUGAAAAGGAUAUCUUGUGUAGAACGACCGUAGAGCAGCAUCCUCCUCCUCAGUCGUACAUUCUUGACAGAAUGCUCGUGGUUGACAAUGAUGCAUUUCCCUGGAUAUCGUAGCUCUCGCGAUGUGCCUCCACUUAUUGAUAUCUUCACCCGUAACCCUGGGCACGGGUUCCGCGUUAUACCCCGCAGGACUGGGUCCCUGCUGAACUUCGCCAUCUACACACUCCGGCCUACUGAAGUGUAAGAUGCCCACCCCCGCGACAUGGACGCGCCAGACAGGAAUUGCCCAAGUGGAGAGUAGAGAAGGUGACUCUACUCCCCCCAGGGCCGAGUUAAUGGGCGUGUAUGAUUCCACACCCAAAGGCUUAAUACUACCACUACUACAAAUAUAAAUAAAACAACAUUCAGUUGUUGUAUCUUGUUAAUACUUAUUCUAGAAUACAUUUAUGUACUCGCCAUUACAGGGCAUUUUGUCGAUACGAAAUAUAUUUUAUUUAAAAGAUACAUCAACAUUACACAGUUCUCUCCUCACUCGGACAUAUUUUACAUAGUACAAAGUAAGUUUGUGUUAAAACUACUAGAGUACAUUAGUACUUUACAUUUUGCGAAAA